This is an RNA transcript of Pan troglodytes (chimpanzee), 4398 nucleotides long. It is a transcript of the gene named zinc finger DHHC-type palmitoyltransferase 3, with no coding region annotated. The transcript is spliced from 10 exons. NCBI's taxonomy places the organism in Eukaryota, Metazoa, Chordata, Mammalia, Primates, Hominidae. The record is from RefSeq and is a predicted model, not a curated record.
GCGUCAGCGCGUCAUCAACCUGCGCGGCGGCCGCUCCUGCAGCCGCGGCCGCCGCCACUGCCGGGAGAGCUCGAUGGGCUUCUCCUGCGCGCCGCCCGGUGUCUGGCCGAGUCCAGAGAGCCGCGGUGCCUCGUUCCGAGGAGCCAUCGCCGAAGCCCGAGGCCGGGUCCCGGGUUGGGGACUGCAGGGGAAGGCAGCGGCGGCGGCGGCGGGAGCCCCACGGGGGUCUGGGACUGGGGAACUGCCUCCGGCUUCACGAUGCCAGUAUGGACAGAAUAGCUUAUGAUGCUUAUCCCCACCCACCACUUCCGAAACAUUGAGCGGAAACCAGAAUACCUCCAGCCAGAGAAGUGUGUCCCACCCCCCUACCCUGGUCCUGUGGGAACCAUGUGGUUUAUCCGUGACGGCUGUGGCAUCGCCUGUGCCAUCGUUACCUGGUUUCUGGUCCUCUAUGCGGAGUUUGUGGUCCUCUUUGUCAUGCUGAUUCCAUCUCGAGACUACGUGUAUAGCAUCAUCAACGGAAUUGUGUUCAACCUGCUGGCCUUCUUGGCCCUGGCCUCCCACUGCCGGGCCAUGCUGACGGACCCCGUGAGAACCUGCACGGAAAUGGCCUUCACUUUGCUUGGGCGAGGUGCAUCUUUUCCUGAAAAGCUGGACAAGCCUGUUUCAGGCCGCAGCAAGUGCCUCUUGGGGGCAGUGCCCAAAGGAAAUGCCACUAAAGAAUUCAUCGAGAGUUUACAGUUGAAGCCUGGGCAGGUGGUGUACAAGUGCCCCAAAUGCUGCAGCAUCAAGCCCGACCGAGCCCACCACUGCAGUGUUUGUAAGCGGUGCAUUCGGAAGAUGGACCACCACUGUCCCUGGGUCAACAACUGUGUAGGCGAGAACAACCAGAAGUACUUCGUCCUGUUUACAAUGUACAUAGCUCUCAUUUCCUUGCACGCCCUCAUCAUGGUGGGAUUCCACUUCCUGCAUUGCUUUGAAGAAGAUUGGACAACCUAUGGACUGAACAGGGAAGAAAUGGCAGAGACUGGAAUCUCUCUUCAUGAAAAAAUGCAGCCCCUUAACGUCAGUUCGACAGAGUGCAGCUCCUUCUCUCCACCCACCACAGUGAUUCUCCUCAUCCUGCUGUGCUUUGAGGGCCUGCUCUUCCUCAUUUUCACAUCAGUGAUGUUUGGGACCCAGGUGCACUCCAUCUGCACAGAUGAGACGAAUUUAUUCAAAAGUCAAGAAUCUUAAAUCUCUGAGAUGGCGUGGGAAGAAAAAGUGCUAGAUACACAGAGAUCUUUCUUGAGUCAUGUGAAGGAGCAGUGCCCAAGCCCGGCAAACCCACAGCAAAUUCCCUUGGCUUCCAGAAGAGAUGGAGAAAGCAGUGCCCCCAGUGGAGGGUCAAAGGCCUCUGUGCAGGGUGUUGUGGGCCUGGAGAGCUGGCCUGGCCACAUCUUUACCUCCUCUGGGCAUCUCCCCACCCCAACACCCUUUCUGUGGCCUGGCGGCUGAGUUGCAGCCGACACCCAGAGGCAGGGCAUCGAGCGCCUCAAACGAAAGAACCAGCCCAGGGAGCACACGGGGAGCUGGCAGUCAGUAAAGGAGACCUUUGGUGGGGACUUCUCCCUGAACUGGUUCAACCCCUUCUCCAGACCGUGUCAGCCAGAGAUCCCCAGUGACAAAGACAUGGUGCGGCAGGUGACAUCACUGUCAGACACCGAAACAAUGGAGGAUCCAUCAGAGGAGACAAAGGACGAGGACUCUGUGGAGGUGACAGAUGAAUAGAUGCUGCUGUGGGGAGAGAAGCAAACACUAAAAAGUGCUGUCAACCUUCAUCCUGGGGUUUUGGCUAAAGGGGCUUAUGGGCAUGGUGCGCUCCCAGCACCCCCAGUGCUUCCCUUAGCCACUCGCUUGGCCUUGCCAUUUCCCCUCCUUCCUCUCUCCAUGUUGGGCCAGGUCUGGGGGUCGGGAGUAGGCUGGGGACAUCAGAGGAGGAUGGGGGCUUUCUCAGAGUUCAUCUAAGAAGAGUCUGCACUGAGACAGCUCAUCAAGAACCGUUCUCCAAGACUGGGUGGCUUUCACAUUCUCCGCCCAGCAAAGGGAGCUUUUGAACAGGGCAUCCCAGGGGCAGAAAAGAGCUUGCCUUUGGCUUUCCCCGGGAUUUCUAUCUUCUCUUGGGAAGGCUGGGCCCCUGGCUCCUGGCUUUGAGAAGUAAGGUUGUGACAGAAGGACCGGGCAGGGCUUGCCUUGGGGACCUGGGUUGGGACACUGACAUCAGGGGAGACUAGCCUGGAAAGACUGCAGAGCUGCCAGCUACUCCCUGGAAAGGGCUUCCCCAUGCUGCCUGCCGAAAUUAGGAGGUAGAGGUGGCUGCCACAUCUACCUGCAAGGGCCAGGCAUGGUUCAAAGAGGACCCUGCAUUAAGCUCUACACACACAUGUGCAGGACAUGUCCAGGAUGGACAGAGCCAGAGUUAAGACAGUAGCACCAAAAAUGAGCCCCCAUUCCACAGACACUGGAGUCUUCACUGAGCGAGACAGCUGGGAGCUGUCCUGCCUGUGGCUACAUAUCUAGCCAUUCACAGAUGUGGAUAUGGGAAGGACCUCUUUGGAGCUACUGGGGACUCUCUAACCACUCGCAUGAGAACUUAAUUGAAUGUUACCUCUUGGAGGGAGUCUAAUAACACAUGUAGGUAGAACUGACCAUAAACCCUGCCUGUGUGUUUGAAAAGGCCAGUUCUCCCAAAUUGGUGCCCAUCUUGUCUCUGAAAAGAUGGGUGAUGGCCAGGGUCUGCUGAUUGAUGAAUCAGAUGAAUCAGGAAGAUAGACACACACACACACACACACACACCCUACCAGGAUGAGUCUGCCCUCUAUUCACCCCAUUUGAAGCCUGUGGUGUCUGUGACCACUGCUGAAGGUCUGAGCAGCGUUCUGGUGCUCCUAAACCCCAUUCCAGUGGUUGCUGAAGCAGCAUCUUCUGCACAAAGCCCAACAGAAGGGUUCUUAUCCCCGUUUGGUAUAAGAAGUGGAUUCACCACCCACUCCCUCCACGUGCCUUUGUUCCUCUCUUUGGCCCAUUUCCCCAGCGUCUACUGGCGUCAGGAUUGGCAGGAGCACAGGCACUCAGCAGAGCAUGCCCCUGCAAGACCUCAGUGUUAAGGCCCCCCUUCCAGCUCCAGGCAAAAGGGCAUGAGUCCUGGCCCCAAGGGGCCUGUGGCUGCAGUUCAGAGGAGAAGAAGGUCAGUGUUUGGAGGUGCAGCCUCAGGAUGCUGAGAAAGGAAACUGGCGACCAUGAGAAAGAAAAGAGCCAAGCAGCAUCCUGGUUCUUGGACAGCAUCUUUGGACACUCUGUGAAGGGCAACAAUCCUGCCAGAGACCGUCUCUCUACAACUGAUGACCCACUAGGGCCUGGGGUUAAUUGCUCAAAGGGCCCAGUGUUCACAAAGCCACCUCUGCCCUAACCCUUGCCAGAGCUCUCCAACUAUGACCCACGAGAGGGGUGAUGGUGGGAUUCUAACAUCAGAGCAACCAGAAAGACAUUGGGCCUCCCACACUCAGGCUGCAGGCCCACUUUCUUGGUCCUUAUCAGCUUUAAUAUUUAUUAAUGACGACAUAGGAGCCCGAGUCAGCUGUAAAGGCCAUUAACUUGCAAUCUGGACAGGAAGUUGACGCUCACCACUUUGGGUAAGAGCUGCUCUGACUGUAGGGCCCCCUAUUUGUUGUCCUAACCCAGAAGCAGCUCUGGGCUGCCAGGAUGGUGGAUGGAAUACCAGAGAGUUCACACUAGGGAGGAAGCAAUGCCUGCCCCCUGGAGUCUCCUAGGGGGCAGCAGUUAGAAUAAGGGAAGAGGAUUUGCUGGUCACUGUUUGCUGACAUGGGUUUCUAUGGUGAGUUCAGGCCUGAGGACAGCGGUGUCUGCAAAACCACAUGGCCCUUGAGAAAUGUCCUUGCACAUUGGGCUUCAAACUCCUCUUCUAGGGAUCCAUCUUGGCCUGAAAGCAGAGGUACAACACCAGCCCCAAAGGCAAUUCUGUUUUCAGAUUGGUUGCUCUGGAAAGGAAGGCUGGGGUGAGGGGGCAUUUUACUUGCACAGAGGCUGACCCUGCCUCCCCUCUUCACUGACCCCAUCUCCAAGGUAGACCUCAGCCAUGUCAGUCCCUGUUCUGGGAGGUGCUGGGCUGGGCCACAGCCAGGGUUAUGUAGGUAAUUAACCUGUCCAACCCUGAGCCUCGCCUCCCCACACCAGCGACACAGUGGUCUCUCUGUGGUGACCAUUCACAGCGUAACAUUCUGCUUAGCCUCAAACUGAAAGCAUUGCAACUGAUGUCAAAACCAGAUGAGAUCUUACAGGGAGAGAGAUUGGGUGCAAUUUGCCUCUUUCUUUGAAUAAAAAGCUCUUUGCUCACCCUCA